GAUGAACGCUGGCGGCGUGCCUAAUACAUGCAAGUCGAGCGAACAGACGAGGAGCUUGCUCCUCUGACGUUAGCGGCGGACGGGUGAGUAACACGUGGAUAACCUACCUAUAAGACUGGGAUAACUUCGGGAAACCGGAGCUAAUACCGCAUAAUAUAUUGAACCGCAUGGUUCAAUAGUGAAAGACGGUUUUGCUGUCACUUAUAGAUGGAUCCGCGCCGCAUUAGCUAGUUGGUAAGGUAACGGCUUACCAAGGCAACGAUGCGUAGCCGACCUGAGAGGGUGAUCGGCCACACUGGAACUGAGACACGGUCCAGACUCCUACGGGAGGCAGCAGUAGGGAAUCUUCCGCAAUGGGCGAAAGCCUGACGGAGCAACGCCGCGUGAGUGAUGAAGGUCUUCGGAUCGGAAAACUCUGUUAUUAGGGAAGAACAAAUGUGUAAGUAACUAUGCACGUCUUGACGGUACCUAAUCAGAAAGCCACGGCUAACUACGUG
This 497-nucleotide ribosomal RNA is filed under the name uncultured bacterium. RNAcentral's name for it is "partial 16S ribosomal RNA". It matches the Rfam family "Bacterial small subunit ribosomal RNA", at positions 28 to 507 of the family's 1533-position model. The record is from RNAcentral.